Long non-coding RNA from Equus caballus (horse), 4589 nucleotides. The record is from Ensembl. Lineage: Eukaryota; Metazoa; Chordata; Mammalia; Perissodactyla; Equidae.
AUUGGCCCUCAGCUAACAUCUGUUGCCAGUCUUCCUCUUUUUGCUUGAGGAAGAUUGUCGCUGAGCUAACAUCUGUGCCAAUCUUCCUCUAUUUUAUAUGUGGGAUGCCACCAAAGCUUGAUAAGCGGUGUGUAGGUCUGUGCCUGGCAUCCGAACUCAUGAACCCUGAGCCACCAAAGCAGAGUGCGUGAACUUAACCACUACACCACCAGGCUGGCCCCCCAAAGCGAUAUUUAAAUAUAGAUUUAACCCAUUUAAAAACUUCAAGAGUUUGACUACUAUUAGUAAACAUAUUUAUUUGAAAAAUAUAUUUUCAACCACUUAUAAAAUACCAGAGCUUGCUUGGCUAUUACUAGUAAAAGAUAAAAUUAGAUUGUACAUGUCUCACAACUGACAUUCACUACUGUGACCCUCAAGUGAAGUUCAGGUGCCUUGGACUAGAGUCUUGCAAUAGCACUUCUCUUGGUCACCCUCUCUCUUUUCGUAAUGGUAUUCCUAUAAUGGACUAGGUAAUUCGGGCUAGACUGCCUUCUAAAAGUAACUUUAGAAGCUGUACGAGAUAGUUUUAACAUUUUUUAAAAAUCAGGCAAUUAUUAGGCCAAGAUCUGGGAAGAAGGAGUGGGAACACAGAAAGGUGUUUUUCUCCUGAGGCAUUUGUCAGUCUAUAAGAGAUGACUCAGAGGCUGAGCUGCAUUGCUCCAGCCUCUCAGGACUAGAGAACAUUAUCUGAAUCUGGGGGCUUCCAUGGGUGGGAACCUUGGUCAAUGCCCCACCCUAACUUUGGAUUGAAACCCUAAAGGCUUUAGCAGAGUUUGCAGCCUGGCUACCUGUCAUCAUGGGCCCUUUAAGAGCAGGCGUUUUUCCCCUUAUGUCUGAUAGUUUUUCUGGGGGUAUUCCCUCUUGUUGUUAAAAGCCAGCAAAGCCAGAUAUUAUGAUACUUGUCUCAAUUGUGCUGAGUCCAAAAGCUGCUUGUUGUGGCAACGCUCUCCCACUCAGAUCCCCCAAUCCUCCAGGGAAGGCUUCGUACCUUAAGCUUGCUCCAGGCUGUGAAACACCAUGGCUAAAAUAUGGCUUUUUCCUCUCUGGAAAGGAAUUUCUGCCUCUUCUGCCUCAAUCAGCACUGUCCCUUGUUGUUGGGGGUUCUUUUCAUUCAGUUUUCAGUUCUGUUUCAGGGGUAAUUGUUCCAAGAGUAGUUGUAAAUUUGUUGAGGGAGGAGGUGAGCUUAGACUCCUCCUACACAGCUGUCUUCCCAGCAGUCCUCAGAAGUGUUAUUUGAAGAAACAAUGGUAGAGACUUUACCAAAUCUGAUAGAAGACAUCAAUGCACAAUAACCCAACAGAUCUCAAUCAGGAUCAAUACAAAGAAGACACCUGGGCACAAUAUAGUAAAACUAUGGAAAACCAAAGACCAAAAAAAAAAUUUAAGGGGCCGGCCCCAUGGCCAAGUCAUUAAGUUCACACUCUGUGCUUCGGCAGUCCAGGGUUUUGCUGGUUCAGAUUUUCGGCACAGACCUAACAUCGCUCAUGAAGCCAUGCUGAGGUGGCAUCCCACAUAGCACAACUAGAAGGACCUACAACUAGAAUAUACAACUAUGUACUGGGGGGCUUUGGGGAGAAGAAGAAGAAGAAAAAAAAAAAAGAUUGGCAGCAGAUGUUAGCUCAGGGCCAAUCUUUAAAACAAAAAGACAAAAAUCAGCCAUAGUAAAAAAAGACAUCUUUAUAGGAGCUUAUCUUUGAUGGACCAACAGUUAGACUGAUAGCUGGCUUCCAUCAGAACAACCACUGGAAAUGAGGAGACGUCGGAGUAAUAUCUAUAGUGACUUGAAAGAAACUAACUGCCAUCCUAGAAUUUUCUACCCAGGAAAACUAUCUAUCUCUCAGUGAAGAAGGCAAAAUGAACACAAAGACAUUUUUAGACAAACAAAAACUGAGGAAGCUUACAAUCAGCAGACUUGCUGCAAGAGAAAUUCUAACAGAUGUUCUUCAGUACAAAGGCAAAUGAUCCUGGUUGGAAGCUGGAGAAGCAGGAUGAAUGAAGAGCAACAAAAGAGGAUUUCCACUUCCAGCCAAGAGGGGAUAGCAGUGACUGGCUUUACCCACCCACCUGAAACAACCACAUCAGACAAAUAAUGGUUUCAACAUACUGAUCAUCAGAUAAUGAAGGACAGUGAUUGCAGAAAGAUGAGGCACAAGCAAGGUCACCACAUCGUUGCUCCAGCUUACUGCCUUAGAGUUUCUGGGACACAGUAUAGGAAGAGUGAACCCAGGUGGAACCUACCUGAUUCCAAGAGUUGAAGAGACAGAGCUGGAACUUGGAGGAUCCCAAGGUGGCUAGAGUUUGCAAGGCAGAGUACCAGAAAAAAAAGAACAAUAGACAGAUCUGCAGAGGGUCUCCCUCAAAUGUUUGCAAGCACUGAUCAGCAGAUGCAUGUGAGAAAGUUAUCUGAGGCUGGGAAAAGAACCCCCAAAAAGAAUUUGAAGGAACAGUAUCCAGCACUCAUAUAGGUCAGGAAUAGUGCCUGUUUCCACCAGCCAGACUGGAAAACCUAGUAAUUAACAGGAUGUUGGGUAGAGUGCUCAGGAAAGUCUUGCCUCAGUAAGAAAAACAGUUAGUCCUGGACUGAGCACUGCCCUAGACCUGCCUAACAAGCCAGGAAACAAAGACCCAAAAGGAUCACUCUGCUUCCAAGGAGCUCAACUGCAUCCCAGACCAAAACUCAGGAUUAUAGGCAUACAAAAAUAUCCAGCACCCAAUGAAGUGAAUUCAUAACCUCUGGCAUCCAAAGAUUGCCAGGCAUGCAAGAGGCAGGAAAGCGUGACCCAUAAUGAGGAGAAAACAGUUGAAACUGACCCACAAUUGACAGAGAUGUUAGAAUUAGCAGAGAAGAAUGUUAAAACAGUUAUUCUAACUGUAUUUCAUUUGUUCAAAAAGUUAAGCAGAGGCAUGGCAGAUAUAAAAAAAGACACAUAGAACUUCUAGAGAUGAAAACUACAAUGUCUGAGAUGAAACACACACUGGAUGGGAUUAGCGAUUGCAGAAGAAAAGAUAGUGAACUUGAAGGUGGGGGCAUAGACGAACUCCAAAAUGAAACCUGGAGAGGAAAAUAGAAUUAAAAAAGAAAAAGGUCUCAGAGCCAUGGGGCAACUUCAAGCAGCGUAUUAAUAUGGACAAUUGGAGUCCUGAUUGAGGGGAGGACAGAAAAAAUAUUUGAAGAAAUAAUGGCCAAAAUUUUCUAAAUUUUAUCCAAAUUAUAAAGCCACAGAUACAACAAGAAACAUGAAGAAAACUAUACCAGCACACAUCAUAAAUAAAUUGUUGAAAAUUAGUGGUAAAGAUAAAGUAAAAAGUAAAAGGAGAAAAUCUUAACAGCAGACAGAGAGAAAAAGGCACAGGAUAUACAGAAGAACAAAGAUAGAGAUGACGGCAGAUUUAUUGUCAGAAACAACGCAGGUGGAAAGGGAUCAGUUCAUCAAGAGGACACAACAAUCCUAAACGUUUAUGCACCUCGUAACAAAGCUCUGCAUGAAAACCCGACAGAACUGCAAAGAGAAAUGAACACCUUCAUAAUUGCUGUCAGAGCUGGCAAUACUCCUCUCUCAAUAAUUGAUAGAAUCAAUAGACGAAAUCAGCAAAGAUAUUUUAGACAAUACUAUCAACCAACUUGACCUGAUUGACACUUACAGAACGCUCCGCCCAACAUCAGCAGAAUAUACAUUUUUUGUUUUUGAAGUGCACACAGAAUGUUUACCAAGCUAGACCAUAUUCUGGCCAUAAAAUAAAGUCUCAAAAACUUUUUAAAGAUUCAGGUCAUACAAUAUAUCUUCUCUGACCACAAUGGAAUUAAAUUAGAAAUCAGUAACAGAUUUCUUGAAAAUCCAUCCCCAAAUACUUAGAAACUAAAUAACACAUCUAAGUAAUCUAAGUGAUUUUUAACUAAGUGAAAAUGCAAACACAACAUUCAAACUUUGUGAGAUCCUGCUAAUGCAGUACUUGUGGGGAAAUUUACAGCACCAAGCACCUAUGUUAGAAAAGAAGAAAGGUCUCAAAUCUUGAAAAAUUAGAAACGUAAGAGCAGAUUAAGCCCAAAGUAAAUAGAACAAAGAAAAUAAUACUGGUCAGAGCAGAAAUCAAUAAAAAUAAAGCAGAAAAACAGCAAAGUAAAUUGAUCAAAAGGUGGUUCUUUGAAAAAAAAUCAAUAAAAUUGAAAAACUUCUAGCUAGACUAAUUAGGAAGAAAAAAGAGAACACACAAAUACCAUUCAGGAAUGAGGAAGAUGAUAUCAGUACAGAUUCUAUAGCUAUUGAGAAGGGAAAUAUUAUGAAUAACUUUAUGCCAAUAAAUUCAAAAAUUUCAAGGAAAUGGACAAAUUCCUUAAAAGCUGCAAACUACCAAACCUCACUCAAGAAGAAACAGAUUGUUAAGUUGCUAAGAGGGCAGAUCUUAAAUGUUCUCAUCACAAGAAAAUAAAAUUUGUAACUAGAGGAGCUGCUGGAUGUUCACUAGACUUAUUGUGGUGAUCAUUUCACAAUAUAUACAUAUUUCAAAUCAUAUGUUAUAUGCCCGAAACUAACAUAAUGUUUAUGUCAAUA